Molecule: long non-coding RNA, 3730 nt
Filed under: Sus scrofa (pig)
Lineage: Eukaryota; Metazoa; Chordata; Mammalia; Artiodactyla; Suidae
Description: lncRNA (ENSSSCG00045006703.1)
Source: RNAcentral
UUUUUUUUUUUUUUUAAGUCUUGCUAGGGAUAUGUCAAUUUUAUUAAUCUUUCCAAAAAAACAACUUAAUUUUCUCUAUUAUUUGUCCCCAUUGUUUUCGGCUCUUCCUAAUUUCUGCUCUUACUUGAUCUCUUCUGAUUAAUUUGGAUUUAAUUUGCUUUUUUUUCCUGUAUUUUUCUUUUUUUUUUUUUUUUUUUUUUUUUUUUUUUUGUCUUUUGUCUUUUUUGUUGUUGUUUUGUUGUUGUUGUUGCUAUUUCUUGGGCCGCUCCCGCGGCAUAUGGAGGUUGCAGCCCUAAAAAAAUAAAUAAAUAAAUUCUUAGAACACUGAUCUUAAAAUGGCAUUUCUUUUCUAACAGAGCAUUUAAAACUAUUAAUUUCCUCCUAAAUACUUCUCUAGUUACAUCCCACAUGUUUUGAUAUGUUGUAUUUUCUUCAUCAUUCAGCUUGAAACAUUUAAAAUUUUAUCUUGUGAAUACUUUUUUUGAUCCAUGAGUUACUUAGAAGUGUAUCGCCACUUCUAAAUUUUUGGGAAAUUUUCCCAUAUAUUUUUGUGACUACUUUGUGACUUCAUCCUAUAUGAUCAGAGAACUAACUCUGUAUAGUUUAAAUCCUUUGAAAUGUAUUGGAACUCAUUUAAUGGCCCAGCAUAUACUCUAUCUUGACAUAUGUUCCAUACACAUUUUCAAAAAAUGUGUAUCUUGACAGUUGCUGAGCUUAGCGUUCUAGAAAUGUCAGACAUUGUACUGUUCAAAUCUUCUAGAUGCUGAGUGAAUUUUUGCAUAAUUUUCUAUACAGUACUGAGAGAUGUUAAAAUUUCUAGCCAUGAUUGGGGAUUUUUCUAUUAAGCCCUUCAUUCUGUCAGUUUUUGCUUUCUGUGUUUUUAAGCUCUGCUAUUAGGUAUAUAUAUAUUUAGAACAAUUAUACAUUCUCCAUAAACUGACUCUGCUAUGAAAUGUCCUCUGAUUAUCUCUGAUAAUAUUCUUUGCUCUGAAAUUUACUCUGAUAUCUACUUCUCCUAUAAUGAGGUAUUUGCAUGGCAUAUCUUUCUUCAUAAUUUCACUUCUAGCCAAUCUGUAUCUUUAUGGUUAAAGUGUAACUCUAUUUAUAAAUAAUAUAUCUUUGGAUUCUACUUUUUUUUUUUUUUUUUUUUUUUUUGUCUUUUUAGGGCCACACCUGUAGCAUAUGGAGGUUCCCAGGCUAGGCGUCUAAUUGGAGCUGUAGCCACCAGCCUACACCACAGCCACAGCAGCCACAGCAACACCGGAUCCUUAACCCCUUGAGCGAGGCCAGAGAUUGAACCUGCAACCUGUGGUUCCCAGUGAGAUUCGUUUCUGCUGUGCCAUGACGGGAACUCUGGGUUCUCCUUUUAUUCAGCUUGACAAUUUACCUUUUCAUUACAGCAUUUAGUCAAGUUACAUUGAAUGUAAUUAUUGAUACCAUUGGAUUUGACUCUUGAUAUUUUUUAUUUGAUGUCCUUUUUCCUACUGUUCCUUCUUUUUGGCCUUUAAGUGGGCUAAAUAAAUAUCUCUUAGCUACACCUAAUUUUUUAGAGGAACUAUUAUAUACAGUGUUAAUUUAUUACAAUCUACUAUGAAUUAAUAUUAUACUACCUCAUAUAUACAGACACGCCUUAGAGAUACUGCAGGUUUGGUUCCAGGCCACCACAAGAAACGGAGUCGUACGAAUGUUUUCGUUUUCAAGGACAUAUAAGAGUUAUGCUUACACUAUACUGUAGUCUCUUCAGUGUGCAAUAGCAUUACGUCUAAAAACACAAUAUACAUAUGUAGUUUUAAAAUAUAAAACAAAAAUCGUUACAACAGUAACGUCAAAGAUUACUGCUCACUGAUCACCAUCACAAAUAAUAAUGUUUGAAAUAUUGUGAGAAUUACCAAAAUGUGACACAGAAACACAAGAAUAUGCUAUUGGAAAAAUGGCACCAUAGACUCGCUUGACACAAGGUUGUCACAAAUCUGCGAUUUGUAGAAAAUGCAGUAUCUCUGAAGAGCUGUAAAGCAAAGUGCCGUAAAAUGGGGUACACGCCGUUGUGCGGUUUUCUUAUGUGAUCUGCUUCCCUUCCCUUUCCCCUGUUAUUUAUGCUAUUGUCAUGUGCUUGAUUUCUGUCUAUGUUAUAAACUCCAUCAACAUAUUUUUUAGUCAGCUGUCUUUUCAAUAAAUUAACAAGUAUUUCAUUUCUUUAUGUGUUUAUUUAACAUUUCCGGGCUCUUCAUUCCUCCAUGUAGACUCACCCUUCUGACUGUGACUACUGCGUGUCAGCCCGCUGGACUUCCGGUUCCAUUUCCUGUACUGCAGUCUAUUGGGAUGAAUUCUUUUAGCAGUUGUUUAUACGGAAAUGUCUUUACUUCUACUUCGUUUUUGAGCACGUUGCUAUAUAUAGAACUGUAGGCUGACAGAAUUUUUCCCUUCCAUUUAGCAGGCCUUUAUUUUUAUUUUAUGAUUAUUAUGAUUAUUAUUUUUGGCCUUUUUAUCUUUUUAGGGCUGCACCCACAGCAUGUGGAGGUUCCCAUGCUAGGGGUUGAAUUGAAGGUGUAGGUGCCGGCCUGCACCACAGCCCCAGGAAGGCAGGAUCCGAGCUGCGUCUGCGACCUACACCACAGAUCACGGCAAUGCUGGAUCCUUAACCCAGAGUGAGGCCAGGGAUCGAACCCACAUCCUCAUGGAUGCUCGUCAGGUUCGUUAACCACUGAGCCAUGAUGGGGACUCCUCGUUUAGCCCUUUUAAUGCUAUCCCAUCGUCUUCUGGUUUGUAUUAAUUUUGAUGAGAAGUUAGUUCUUAAUUCUUAUCACCAUGUAGGUGACAGUUCUCUCCUUUCAGAUUUUAUCCUUGUUGUUCUCAGCAAUUAGACUAUGAUAUGACCAGAUAGUUAGUUUUCUGUGUUUAACCUCCUUGGAAUCUACUGAGGCUUUUGAGGUUUUCAGGAUAUUUUUCAUAAAAUUUAGAAAAAAUUCAGUUACUAUUUCUUCCAACAUUUUUUCCUACCCCAUUCUUUCCUUUCUCUUUUUCAGGGACCAUUAUUACAAGUACAUUGGCUUUGUGGAUAUGGUGCUAGGAUCACUGAGAUUUUUUAAAUUUUUGGAAAAAUUUCGAUAAUUUCUUUUGACCUAUCUUCAAGUUUAUUGAACUUUUCUUCUGUAAUGUCACAUCUGUUAGGCUCAUCCAGUGAAUUUCUUAUUUCAUAUAUUUUUUUCUUCAUUCUGAGGAUUUACAUUUGUUUCAUUUUUAUGAUUUCCAUGUCUUUGUUUUGAUGCCUCUUCUAUCCAUACAGAAUGUCCACAUUUUCUUUUAAAUCCUUGAAUAAGUUGAAGUCCUGGCCCAUUAGUGCUAAUAUCUAUGUCAACUGUGGACUGACUUUUUUUUUUUUUUCCUUUUGGCUGUGCCUAGCAUGCAUAAGUCCAGGGCCAGGGAUUGAACCUGUCCCACAGCAGCGACCCGAGCCACAGCAGUGACAACACCAGAUCCUUAACCUGCUGCACCAGCAGGAAACCCCUGGGUGUAUUUCUAUUGACUGGUUUUUUUCCUUCUGAAUAUGCAUGAAUAUGUGACGCAUUGUCCUGCUUCUUUGUGUAUCUAGUUAUUUGUUACUCUGUGCUUGACUCUGGGAAGGCUCUUCCUUUAAUUAAGUGCUGAAUUUGUUCUGGCUGGUCCUUAGUUUAGUUGCAGCUUAGCUUGAUCAUGUCCAGGUUUAGUUUUACACUUUUUAGGGCAGGUCUGC